This 503-nucleotide ribosomal RNA is filed under the name uncultured bacterium. RNAcentral's name for it is "partial 16S ribosomal RNA". It matches the Rfam family "Bacterial small subunit ribosomal RNA", at positions 30 to 523 of the family's 1533-position model. The record is from RNAcentral.
AUUGAACGCUGGCGGCAGGCUUAACACAUGCAAGUCGAGCGGGGUGAUGGUGCUUGCACUAUCACUUAGCGGCGGACGGGUGAGUAAUGCUUAGGAAUCUGCCUAUUAGUGGGGGACAACAUCUCGAAAGGGGUGCUAAUACCGCAUACGUCCUACGGGAGAAAGCAGGGGAUCACUUGUGACCUUGCGCUAAUAGAUGAGCCUAAGUCGGAUUAGCUAGUUGGUGGGGUAAAGGCCUACCAAGGCGACGAUCUGUAGCGGGUCUGAGAGGAUGAUCCGCCACACUGGGACUGAGACACGGCCCAGAAUCCUACGGGAGGCAGCAGUGGGGAAUAUUGGACAAUGGGGGGAACCCUGAUCCAGCCAUGCCGCGUGUGUGAAGAAGGCCUUAUGGUUGUAAAGCACUUUAAGCGAGGAGGAGGCUCUUUUGGUUAAUACCCAAGAUGAGUGGACGUUACUCGCAGAAUAAGCACCGGCUAACUCUGUGCCAGCAGCCGCAGUAA